This 72-nucleotide transfer RNA is filed under the name Sphaerobolus stellatus. RNAcentral describes it as "tRNA-Thr". It matches the Rfam family "tRNA". From Rfam's summary of the family: Transfer RNA (tRNA) molecules are approximately 80 nucleotides in length. Their secondary structure includes four short double-helical elements and three loops (D, anti-codon, and T loops). The record is from RNAcentral. Lineage: Eukaryota; Fungi; Basidiomycota; Agaricomycetes; Geastrales; Sphaerobolaceae.
GCCGGAAUAGUUUAAUUGGUAAAAUAGUUUCCUUGUAAGAUUCAGAAGGAGGUUCAAAUCCUUCUUUCGGCA